RNAcentral lists this long non-coding RNA (951 nucleotides) under Homo sapiens (human). Its description in RNAcentral is "HSALNT0083342". Lineage: Eukaryota; Metazoa; Chordata; Mammalia; Primates; Hominidae. The record is from RNAcentral.
UCGGGAAUGUCUCCUGGCCAGGCCUGGAGAUUGCAGGAGGCCGGGCGAGGAGCCCCGCGUCUCCCCCGUUUCCGGGCCGUUGUUUUCUUGGCUGGAUUUUGAGGAGGGUUAAGUGUCCCUCUUGGCCUGGCUGCUGAGUGGGGUGAGAGCGAUUGCGUGAACUUGCUUCCUGGCGUGCGGCUGUGAAUGCUUCUCGGCUCGCCUGGCUCCCGCGGUUUCCUUCCCAAGCCCUCCUUGCUGGCAGGAGGGAACAGACAGGCGGGGUGUGGAUCCCUCCGGAGCUCACUGGGGGCCGUUCGCCCCGCUCAUCACUCUGGCCACACUCCCUGCCCGCCCCUUACAUUCCGGGCUUGCCUAGACAGGCAGAUGGAGUGGGCUUUCGGGAAAGAGAGAGAGAGAAAAAGGAAUCUUUUCUAUGUGGCUGGUUUUGAACCCUUGAAAUCCCAGUGAAAAUAAUCACACUAAAUACUAUUUGUAGCAGCCCAGAGACAUGGAACACGGGCUGAAUCCUUUGCGUUUCUUUGUAAUUGGAAAAGGAUGUUUUUACAUCUUGACAUUUUUUGACUCUCAGCCACAUCUAGAUAGAAUUAGUGAGACCCCAAGAAGACAUUCCAUCAACGCUGGGUAACUGCAAGAACUUUAAACAGAUCUGUCGUGAUGUCUCUGAGAAUGGCGGCCUGCAGUGACCUGGAAUCCCACAGUGGCUCUGCCAGGUAUUCCAGGAACAGGUCCCAGGGACACGCGUCUAAUUUAUUAUUUAUGGAGCAAAUUAUCGUUCUCCACAGCAAGCAGAGACCUUGACAAAUGGGCCACCACUGUGGCUUCCUGAUUUUCUUUUCUUUUGGGGGUGUUGAGGGUUGCAACAGACGAUGCCCUAAAGACCUCCAGGGCUGUGCCUGUGCUGGACAUCUGGCCAGCCCUCAGGGUCCUGGACUUGUCCUCAUCUCUACU